This 253-nucleotide ribosomal RNA is filed under the name uncultured bacterium. RNAcentral's name for it is "partial 16S ribosomal RNA". It matches the Rfam family "Bacterial small subunit ribosomal RNA", at positions 524 to 776 of the family's 1533-position model. The record is from RNAcentral.
UACGAAGGGGGCUAGCGUUGUUCGGAAUUACUGGGCGUAAAGGGCGCGUAGGCGGCCUUCUAAGUCGAACGUGAAAUCCCUGGGCUCAACCCAGGAACUGCGUCCGAUACUGGGAGGCUUGAAUCCGGGAGAGGGAUGUGGAAUUCCAGGUGUAGCGGUGAAAUGCGUAGAUAUCUGGAGGAACACCGGUGGCGAAGGCGGCAUCCUGGACCGGUAUUGACGCUGAUGCGCGAAAGCCAGGGGAGCAAACGGG